RNAcentral lists this small nucleolar RNA (134 nucleotides) under Bos mutus (wild yak). RNAcentral's name for it is "Small nucleolar RNA SNORA56 (ENSBMUG00000004531.1)". The record is from RNAcentral. Lineage: Eukaryota; Metazoa; Chordata; Mammalia; Artiodactyla; Bovidae.
CAGGAGACAGUUAUCCCUUUCUGGCCUGGCUCAGCGGACUUGAGAUGGGGGGGGGGCGUCUAUCUUCAGCUGUAAGUGGUGAGUUCUAUUCAGCAUCAGUGUUUGGAUAGGGGUUUUAGACUCGCCAGAGAUCA